UUGAGCAGAAGUAAUGGCAGA
This 21-nucleotide small nuclear RNA is filed under the name Arabidopsis thaliana (thale cress). Its description in RNAcentral is "snRNA_14896". The record is from RNAcentral. Lineage: Eukaryota; Viridiplantae; Streptophyta; Magnoliopsida; Brassicales; Brassicaceae.